UUUGUAUCUUGCUGUCAAGUAGAGGACCUUGGUAAUCUGAUCAAGCUUUAGGCCUACCGCAUGCUCUUGAUCACUUAUUACUCUUUCAAGCAGUUUGUGCGGAAGGCUGAGAAAGUUGGGACCAGAAACUGUGCUAGGAUACGCCUUGGUUGCCGUCUCCGUUCCCUAGGUGGCCCUCUUGUUGUGCGUUCACUUGGUUGA
RNAcentral lists this ribosomal RNA (201 nucleotides) under Triticum aestivum (bread wheat). Its description in RNAcentral is "partial small subunit ribosomal RNA". Lineage: Eukaryota; Viridiplantae; Streptophyta; Magnoliopsida; Poales; Poaceae. The record is from RNAcentral.